UACGGGGGGGGCAAGCGUUGUUCGGAAUUACUGGGCGUAAAGGGCUCGUAGGUGGCCAACUAAGUCAGACGUGAAAUCCCUCGGCUCAACCGAGGAACUGCGUCCGAUACUGGUGGGCUUGAAUCCGGGAGAGGGAUGUGGAAUUCCAGGUGUAGCGGUGAAAUGCGUAGAUAUCUGGAGGAACACCGGUGGCGAAGGCGGCAUCCUGGACCGGUAUUGACGCUGAGGCGCGAAAGCUAGGGGAGCAAACGGG
This 253-nucleotide ribosomal RNA is filed under the name uncultured bacterium. Its description in RNAcentral is "partial 16S ribosomal RNA". It matches the Rfam family "Bacterial small subunit ribosomal RNA", at positions 524 to 776 of the family's 1533-position model. The record is from RNAcentral.